AUGGGACAUUUUGAAGAUGAUGAUGACGACAAGCCUGUAGUUAUGUAUGACAGAGAGAAUCCCUCAAUUGAGGAAGGUGUAGCCUUUCCCUCUACAGUGGACUAUAGAAAUGUAGUUGCAACAUUCUCAAUAAGGACAGAAAAAGAAUUUCAAUUUGACAAAAGUGAUCCAACAAGGUUUAGUGUGCACUGUGCAUAUGAUAGGUGUAAAUGGAGAUUACAUGCAUCUUUGAUGAGGAGAAGCACACUGUUUCAGAUCAAAGUAAAUCCUUGCCAACACAACUGUCCAAGUGUUAACAGAAGCCAGAGGCUGAGAGCCACAAAGAGAAGGUGGAUAGCAGAUGCUACAAUGUCAUGGAUCGGACAUAAUCUAGGCAUUGGUCCAAAAGAAAUUCAACAGAAGUUACUUGAGAAAUAUGGAGUUGAACCUCCAUAUAUGAGAUGUUACUAUGGGAAAGAGAUGGCCCUAGAGAGGAUAUAUGGGAAUAUAGUAACAGUUUUUAGCUACUUUACACACUCAAGGCUGAAGUUGAGAGGGCUUCACCUGGCAGUGUUGUUGAGAUUGACAAACACACUGUACAGUACAAGCUCAGAGGUAAAAACUUUCCAAAAAGAGUGCUUUAGAAGAGUAUUUGUCUGUUUCAAGGCUUGUCAAAAGGGUUUCUUGGAGGGGUGUAGGCCAUACCUCGUUGUGGAUGCUACAACAUUGAACGGGAGGUUUAGAGGCCAACUAGUUGUUGUAUGUGCCAUAGAUGCUCAUAACUGGCUAUUCUUGUAG
This 777-nucleotide ribosomal RNA is filed under the name Triticum aestivum (bread wheat). RNAcentral describes it as "partial small subunit ribosomal RNA". The record is from RNAcentral. Lineage: Eukaryota; Viridiplantae; Streptophyta; Magnoliopsida; Poales; Poaceae.